AGUGAACGCUGGCGGUAGGCCUAACACAUGCAAGUCGAACGGCAGCACAGUAAGAGCUUGCUCUUACGGGUGGCGAGUGGCGGACGUGUGAGGAAUACAUCGUAAUCUACUUUUUCGUUGGGGAUAACGUAGGUAAACUUACGCUAAUACCGCAUACCACCUACGGUUGAAAGCAGUGGAUCUUCGGACCUUGCGCGAUUGAAUUAGCCGAUGUCGUAUUAGCUAGUUGGCUGGGUUAAUGCCCACCCAGGCGACGAUCCGUAGCUGGUGUGAGAGGAUGGUCACCCACCUGGGAACGGAGACACGGACAAGGGGACUAAGGGAGGGCGCAGAGGCGAAUAUUGGACAAUGGGCGGAAGUAUGAUACAGCCAGCCCGAGUGGGUGAAGAAGGCCUUCGGGUUGUAAAGACCUUUUGUUGGGAAAGAAACGCAGCAGGUUAAUACCAAGCUGUUCUGACGGUAAUAAAAGAAUAAGCACCGGCUAACUUCGUG
RNAcentral lists this ribosomal RNA (492 nucleotides) under uncultured bacterium. Its description in RNAcentral is "partial 16S ribosomal RNA". It matches the Rfam family "Bacterial small subunit ribosomal RNA", at positions 29 to 507 of the family's 1533-position model. The record is from RNAcentral.